UACGUAGGGUGCGAGCGUUGCCCGGAUUUAUUGGGGGUAAAGGGCGCGUAGGCGGCUCGGCACGUCCGUUGUGAAAUCGCCCGGCUCAACUGGGCGGGGUCGGCGGAUACGGCCGAGCUGGAGUAAGCUAGGGGGUAAUGGAAUUCCCGGUGUAGUGGUGGAAUGCGUAGAUAUCGGGAGGAACACCAGUGGCGAAGGCGGUUACCUGGAGCUUUGCUGACGCUGAUGCGCGAAAGCGUGGGGAGCGAUCCGG
RNAcentral lists this ribosomal RNA (253 nucleotides) under uncultured bacterium. RNAcentral's name for it is "partial 16S ribosomal RNA". It matches the Rfam family "Bacterial small subunit ribosomal RNA", at positions 524 to 776 of the family's 1533-position model. The record is from RNAcentral.